Molecule: long non-coding RNA, 727 nt
Filed under: Rattus norvegicus (Norway rat)
Lineage: Eukaryota; Metazoa; Chordata; Mammalia; Rodentia; Muridae
Source: RNAcentral
UCUUACAGGUUUAAGGUACUCUUUUACAUGCGAAAGAAUGGGAGCACGCUCUCAUUUCAAAAUAUGGCUAAUGUCAAAGCCGUUUGCACUUUGGAGCCAGGCCUGUUCAAUUUUACAAAUAGCAAGUUUUUCUUACAAUCAGGGUACGGUGGCAACGUGACUUGAAACCCCCAGAAUCAUACCCGGGAUGAAUGCAGGUUUUCUUGGUGGUGAUUAUCUUAAAGGUAAGGGAGGUUUUUUUUUCCCUGAUACUGAUGAAGGCUGAGUGUGACUGUUUAGUAUAGCUAGUGGGCUUUGUCACUUAAGCCUUCCUUAGCAUGUUCCCUUUCCCUUAUUUUUCCUGGAUACUUACGUGCUAACGUGCUAACAACUCCAGAUCAAACUGAGUAUGGAGAUUUUUGCUUUAACAAUUUAGGAGUGGCAAACAAUUUAUAACUGGCAGGGUUUGAGGACAGCCGUGUUGAAAAACCAAAAGAAAAUGCUAAGGCAGGUCUUGACCAAUGUGGAUACUUUGACUAAUUAACUUCGUUACUUUAGGAGGAGGUUGUUCCUGCACGCCAUCCAUCUCCAGCGUUCGAAGGUUAGAUUGUUGGGGUGGUGUGUCUUGUUCACCAGAUUGGCUGUUUCUGUGAUGAAUCAACUAGCUCACUAUGACUGCUAAUGAAAACACUGGAACACCUGAGAAACUGAAGGGUGGCGUGUUGGGGCAAGGGUGCUUACAUAUCAA